Molecule: ribosomal RNA, 578 nt
Filed under: uncultured bacterium
Lineage: Bacteria
Description: bacterial SSU rRNA
Rfam family: Bacterial small subunit ribosomal RNA
Source: RNAcentral
CGAAUUCGCCCUUCCUACGGGAGGCAGCAGUGGGGAAUUUUACGCAAUGGGGGAAACCCUGACGUAGCGACACCGCGUGAGCGAAGAAGCCCUCUGGGGUGUAAAGCUCUGUCAGCAGGGACGAAAAAAAUGACGGUACCUGCAGAGGAAGCAUCGGCUAACUACGUGCCAGCAGCCGCGGUAAGACGUAGGAUGCAAGCGUUGUCCGGAUUCAUUGGGCGUAAAGAGUUCGUAGGCGGUUUGUUAAGUCUGAUGUUAAAGAUCAGGGCCCAACCCUGAGAGCGCAUUGGAUACUGGCAGACUGGAGUGCAGUAGAGGCAAGUGGAAUUCCCAGUGUAGCGGUGAAAUGCGUAGAUAUUGGGAAGAACACCGGUGGCGCAGGCGACUUGCUGGGCUGUAACUGACGCUGAGGAACGAAAGCUAGGGGAGCAAAUGGGAUUAGAUACCCCAGUAGUCCUAGCUGUAAACGAUGGAUACUAGGCGUUGCAGGUAUCGACCCCUGCAGUGCCGCAGUUAACGCGAUAAGUAUCCCGCCUGAGUAGUACGGCCGCAAGGUUGAAACUCAAAGGAAUUGACGG